This 256-nucleotide ribosomal RNA is filed under the name uncultured bacterium. RNAcentral describes it as "partial small subunit ribosomal RNA". It matches the Rfam family "Bacterial small subunit ribosomal RNA", at positions 26 to 284 of the family's 1533-position model. The record is from RNAcentral.
AGGACGAACGCUGGCGGCGUGCUUAACACAUGCAAGUCGAACGGUAAGGCCCCUUCGGGGGUACACGAGUGGCGAACGGGUGAGUAACACGUGAGCAACCUGCCCUUGACAUUGGAAUAACAGUUGGAAACAGCUGCUAAUACCGGGUAUGACCUGUCACCGCAUGGUGGUGGGUGGAAAGCCUUGGCGGUCAGGGAUGGGCUCGCGGCCUAUCAGCUAGUUGGUGAGGUAAUGGCUCACCAAGGCUUCGACGGGU